This is a non-coding RNA of Populus trichocarpa (black cottonwood), 108 nucleotides long. The record is from Rfam. Lineage: Eukaryota; Viridiplantae; Streptophyta; Magnoliopsida; Malpighiales; Salicaceae.
UAAUCUGUUUGGGGCAUAUCCUUAUUUAGUUAUGGCAAACUCACACCUGACUGCUCAGAAUCACUCACUACUGCGUGAACAAUAACUUUUUGAGAUUUUAAUUGAAGU